UUUUGGGAACUGGGGGCCUUCUUAUGAACUGGCAUUCCUGCGUUGAGAGGGACAGGUCACAAAUUCUGGUAUUUCUUCUCAACAGCCCCCCAGCAAGCAACCCCAAAUCCACCCAAGACAAGGUCUUGGCUCAGCCAACCUAUCCAUGGGAUGGGCUGGAAACGUUAAGGGGGGGCACCUGCUGAGACGUGAGGAGCCCCCAGGAGGUGUACCUGGGACAGAGAACAUCCAGCCAAGAACAAGCCAGGAGGACAGGGGAGGACGUCCCAGUCAGACCCCAGGAAGCCCUUCCUGUCCCAGAGCUGCCGGGCGGGUGAGGAGGGGUGGCUUGGUGGCCACUGUCUGAUGCAUACUGCAAGAACAAUAAGGAUUUUUAGGGGCAUUAUGACUGAGUCAGAAAACACAGCUGCCCCUGAAAGUCCCUCAUUUUUCUUGCUGUCCUUGAAUGCUCUCCAGCCUUCUGCCCUAAGACCACAGCCAUACCCUCCUCCAGCAAAACCCAAGCUGUCCCCCACACACGAGGACCGAAGCCAUCUGGACCAUUCGACGACACAAUGGCACCAUGCUUUGCCUGCUCAGAAGCCCCAGCCUCAGCCUUCUGCCCUAACCAAGAUCACAGCCAUACACUCCUCCGGCAAAAGCCAAGCUGUCCCCCACACAUGAGGACUGAAGCCAUCUGGACCAUUCGAUGGCAGGAUGGCACCAUGCUUGGCGCGCUCAGAAGUCCCAGCCUGAGGUGUACUCAUUCAGGCAGCAUCGACAACUGCUUUCACACGGAAAGAGAAGAGCAGAGUUGCCACAGGGAGCAACACUUUUUGGCUCCUCACAGGGCAACUUCGCCGACACCUGCUUCCGUUUUCUUGCAUUUGGAAUUUCACCUAAGGACCAGGAGCCUGCACCCAAGAACAGCCAGAAAGGACAAAAGCUGGGUUCUGGCUUCAUUCCCCAAAGACCGCCCCACAGCCACCAGGCACAAAAGCGAGCACCCAAGGAGGCAUACGACAAUACAAACUAAAUGAACUAGAUCACCAGAACGUUCUUCCUCAAAGAACAGCCACUAACAUUACUGCGGACAAAUGUCUAAAAGUAGUAUCUGAACCCUGCCUUCAUGGACCUGCUCCACUGUCAGAAGAACUGACAUAGACGAGAAAUGUUUCCAAUGCUAUUUACCUGAGAUAAGGAAAAUGAAACUGUUGUCUGGACACUGCGGCUGCCACAUGGGAAGGCACAUGAGGUGUUCUGUGGGGAACAGGUGAGGGGGUGAUAGCCAAAACGGAAAACACAUGAUUUUCUCCCUCUGUGGGUACUUGCUCCAAACCUCCCUGUGGUUAAAGUUCCAUCUGGAAAUGUACAAUAAUUUAUAUCAUCCCAAGUUCCUAACAGCUAAUUAGAAAAAUGUACUAAUUAGGUAAUCUGGUUUCAGAUGUCCUAAUUAUAUUACUUUGGAGAAGUAAAAAAAAAAAAA
Mustela erminea (ermine) is the source of this 1465-nucleotide long non-coding RNA. RefSeq lists it as uncharacterized. The record is from RefSeq and is a predicted model, not a curated record. Lineage: Eukaryota; Metazoa; Chordata; Mammalia; Carnivora; Mustelidae. The transcript has 6 exons.